RNAcentral lists this ribosomal RNA (468 nucleotides) under uncultured bacterium. Its description in RNAcentral is "partial 16S ribosomal RNA". It matches the Rfam family "Bacterial small subunit ribosomal RNA", at positions 28 to 507 of the family's 1533-position model. The record is from RNAcentral.
GACGAACGCUGGCGGCGUGCUUAACACAUGCAAGUCGAACGGAAAGGCCCUGCUUUUGUGGGGUGCUCGAGUGGCGAACGGGUGAGUAACACGUGAGUAACCUGCCCUUGACUUUGGGAUAACUUCAGGAAACUGGGGCUAAUACCGGAUAGGAGCUCCUGCUGCAUGGUGGGGGUUGGAAAGUUUCGGCGGUUGGGGAUGGACCCGCGGCUUAUCAGCUUGUUGGUGGGGUAGUGGCUUCCCAAGGCUUUGACGGGUCGCCGACAUGAGAGGGUGAACAGGCUCCAUGGGACUGAGGUAGGGCGCAGUGUCGAACAGGAGACAGCAGUGGGAAGCCUGACACAGUGGUCGGGCGCCUGAGGAGGCAGCGCCGCGUGCGUGAAGCCGGCUUUCUGGUAGUAAAAAGCAUUCGCCUGUGACGAAGCGUUAGUGACGGUAAUGAGUGAAGAAGCACCGGCUAACUACGUG